This 221-nucleotide unclassified non-coding RNA is filed under the name Paraglomus occultum. RNAcentral describes it as "partial contains 5.8S ribosomal RNA and internal transcribed spacer 2". The stretch from base 1 to 65 matches the Rfam family "5.8S ribosomal RNA", at positions 84 to 154 of the family's 154-position model. The record is from RNAcentral. Lineage: Eukaryota; Fungi; Glomeromycota; Glomeromycetes; Paraglomerales; Paraglomeraceae.
GUGAAUCAUCGAAUUUUUGAACGCAAAUUGCGCCUUUUUCGGAAGGCAUGUCUGUUUGAGGGCACCAUUUAACAAAUAAUGUGCAUUUCGUGUGCACACGUUGAUGAGCUUUCCAAAAUUAUGUAUUAUUAUUUUUGUUGGCGCAUAAUAAACAGCGCGAUCCUUUUUUUCGGUUCUAUUUUAGUAAAAUUUUUUCUUGUUUGGGUUUUUAAUAAAUGGAC